GGCCUGGCAUGCAUUCAUCAACUUUAUAGUAGCGCCGGCGUGGAAUUCGGGUCUCCUGAGGGGGGAGCGUGGGGCCACUGGAAACAAGAGCCACUUUCAGCGCGGCCUUCUCCAGGAACGCAGAUAUAAUUGACUCUAAGGUACAAAAACGUUUGCACUUACAGCCUCCCUGGUUCCAAUCAGGACAUGAAGGGAAUGUGCCAAGACGCCAGAGAAUAAGCCAGUCCUCACAAACUCUCCAGCCAAGCUCUGCAAACUCUGGAAGGCGGAAUCGAGACUGUUUCAGUUUCAGAUCCGGCCCAGUUCCUCGUGUCUAAUUAGCUCCAGCUAUCUCUCUAUUGGUGAGAAGAGAACGAACGGAAGAACGAGCUCAUUCAAGUUUGGGGUAGAAGGAGAAAGUCAGAGCCCACGAUGCCCUGAGCACAGGCUGAAGACGAGAGAAUGCCUGUGGGGAGGAAGAGAG
RNAcentral lists this long non-coding RNA (463 nucleotides) under Equus caballus (horse). RNAcentral describes it as "lncRNA (ENSECAG00000045309.1)". Lineage: Eukaryota; Metazoa; Chordata; Mammalia; Perissodactyla; Equidae. The record is from RNAcentral.